UUAAGUCCCGCAACGAGCGCAACCCUUGUCAUUAGUUGCUACAUUCAGUUGGGCACUCUAAUGAGACUGCCGGUGACAAACCGGAGGAAGGUGGGGAUGACGUCAAGUCCUCAUCGGCCCUUAUAGGUGGGCUACACACGUCAUACAAUGGAUGGUACAAAGGGUCGCCAACCCGCGAGGGGGAGCCAAUCCCAUAAAGCCAGUCGUAGUCCGGAUCGCAGUCUGCAACUCGACUGCGUGAAGUCGGAAUCGCUAGUAAUCGUGGAUCAGCAUGUCACGGUGAAUACGUUCCCGGGUCUU
RNAcentral lists this ribosomal RNA (300 nucleotides) under uncultured Polaromonas sp. RNAcentral's name for it is "bacterial SSU rRNA". It matches the Rfam family "Bacterial small subunit ribosomal RNA", at positions 1080 to 1382 of the family's 1533-position model. The record is from RNAcentral. Lineage: Bacteria; Pseudomonadati; Pseudomonadota; Betaproteobacteria; Burkholderiales; Comamonadaceae.